AGCGAACGUUAGCGGCGCGCCUAACACAUGCAAGUCGCACGAGAAAGGGAGCAAUCCCCCGGUACAGUGGCGCACGGGUGAGUAACACGUAGAUGACCUUCCCUGGAGUGGUGGAUAACCCGCCGAAAGGCGGGCUAAUACAGCAUGGGACCACAUGGUUUUGACCGAGUGGUGAAAGCGGGCCUCUGUUCACAAGCUCGCGCUCUGGGAUGGGUCUGCGUCCCAUCAGCUAGUUGGUGGGGUAAUGGCUCACCAAGGCAUCGACGGGUAGCUGGUCUGAGAGGAUGACCAGCCACACUGGAACUGAGACACGGUCCAGACUCCUACGGGAGGCAGCAGUGGGGAAUCUUGCGCAAUGGGCGAAAGCCUGACGCAGCGACGCCGCGUGGGUGAUGAAGGCCUUCGGGUUGUAAAGCCCUGUGGGAGGAACGAACCGUACGGGGGCUAACACCCUCCGUACCUGACGGUACCUCCUUAGCAAGCAUCGGCUAACUCCGUG
This 499-nucleotide ribosomal RNA is filed under the name uncultured bacterium. RNAcentral's name for it is "bacterial SSU rRNA". It matches the Rfam family "Bacterial small subunit ribosomal RNA", at positions 28 to 507 of the family's 1533-position model. The record is from RNAcentral.